GACGAACGCUCGCGGCGUGCUUAACACAUGCAAGUCGCGCGAGCGGCGGACGGGUGAGUAAUGUAUGGGGACUGCCCGAUAGAGGGGGAUAACUACUGGAAACGGUGGCUAAUACCGCAUACUGUCGAAUUACCCAUAUGGGAUUAGCUAGUAGGUAAGGUAAUGGCUUACCUAGGCGACGAUCCCUAGCUGGUCUGAGAGGAUGAUCAGCCACACUGGGACUGAGACACGUCCCAGACUCCUACGGAGGCAGCAGUGGGGAAUAUUGCACAAUGGGCGCAAGCCUGAUGCAGCCAUGCCGCGUGUAUGAAGAAGGCACUAGGGUUGUAAAGUACUUUCAGUCGGGAGGCGUUACCGACAGAAGAAGCACCGGCUAACUCCGUGCAAGCAGCCGCGGUAAUUC
Molecule: ribosomal RNA, 403 nt
Filed under: uncultured bacterium
Lineage: Bacteria
Description: partial 16S ribosomal RNA
Rfam family: Bacterial small subunit ribosomal RNA
Source: RNAcentral